UGAGAAAAAACCAGAAUUGGUGAUUCAAGA
RNAcentral lists this non-coding RNA (30 nucleotides) under Mus musculus (house mouse). Lineage: Eukaryota; Metazoa; Chordata; Mammalia; Rodentia; Muridae. The record is from RNAcentral.